AACGCAGCGAAGGGCGAUACGUAAUGUGAAUUGCAGAAUUCAGUGAAUCAUCGAAUCUUUGAACGCACCUUGCGCCCCUUGGCAUUCCGAGGGGCACACCCGUUUGAGUGUCGUGAAAUCCUCAAAACCCUUUUCUGCGUUUAGCGAAAAAGGACUUUUGGACUUGGAGGUUCAAUGCUCGCUUUUGCUUUUUGAAAGCGAGCUCCUCUCAAAUGGAUUAGUGGGGGUCCGCUUUGCUGGUCCUUGACGUGAUAAGAUGUUUCUACGUUUUUGGAUUUAGCACUGUCCCUUGGAUGCCUGCUCUCUAACCGUCUCACGGACAAUGAUGGUGCUCUGGUCACCGCCAUCUACAUUGGCGGGAGGCUGGACCCACAAAAAGAAAACCUUGACCUCAAAUCGGGUGAGACUACCCGCUGAACUUAA
RNAcentral lists this ribosomal RNA (423 nucleotides) under uncultured fungus. RNAcentral's name for it is "eukaryotic LSU rRNA". The stretch from base 1 to 113 matches the Rfam family "5.8S ribosomal RNA", at positions 42 to 154 of the family's 154-position model. The record is from RNAcentral. Lineage: Eukaryota; Fungi.